AUUCCAAUCGAACUCGGAGAUAGCUGGUUCUCCCCGAAAUAGCUUUAGGGCUAGCCUCAUAUUAGAUACCCGGAGGUAAAGCACUGAAUGGCCUAGCGCCCGAGAGGGUAGCGAAGCCUAUCAAACUAAGAAUGCCGGAGUAUUGAUGUAUGGGAGUCAGACAGUGUGAGAUAAAUCUCAUUGUCAAAAGGGAAACAGCCCAGAUCUACAGCUAAGGUCCCAAAUUGUAUCUAAGUGGAAAACGAUGUGGAAAUACGCAGACAACCAGGAUGUUGGCUCAGAAGCAGCCACUCAUUUAAAGAGUGCGUAAUAGCUCACUGGUCGAGCGUCUCUGCGCGGAAAAUUUAACGGGGCUAAGAUACAAACCGAAGCUUAGGCUGCACGUAAGUGCGGGGUAGGGGAGCGUUGUGUAAGCGGAGAAACAGUAGCGUAAGCGGCUGUGGAGUUUACAGAAGUGAGAAUGCCGGAAUGAGUAGCGCGAAUGUGGUGAGAAUCCACAUGGCCGGAAACCUCAGGUUUUUGGAGGAAGGUUCGUCCGCUCCAAGUUAGGCGGGAGCUAAGGUCAGGCCGAAAGGCGUAGCCGAUGCACAGACGGUAGAGAUUCCGUCCCCACCGAAAGAUUUAAGCACAGGGACACUUUUUGAAGGUCGGAGCCAGGUGUUGGUUCUGGUAGUGAUCGAGGGAAAUAUAGUACCGAAGUCCGGCUGGAUAAGAGGCGAGAAAAGCUGUGUGUAUAUCUAAGGUGCCCGUACCGCAAACCGACACAGGUAGGUAGGAAGAAGAUUCUAAGGCCAACGGGAGAAGGGUUGUUAAGGAACUCGGCAAGUUGACCCCGUAACUUCGGAAUAAGGGGUGCUCACGAGAGUGAGCCGCAGAGAAUAGGCCCAGGCAACUGUUUACCAAAAACACAGGUUUGUGCUAAAUCGAAAGAUGACGUAUACGAGCUGACGCCUGCCCGGUGCUGGAAGGUUAAAAGGAGAUGUGCAAGCAUUGAAUUGAAGCCCCAGUGAACGGCGGCCGUAACUAUAACGGUCCUAAGGUAGCGAAAUUCCUUGUCAGGUAAGUUCUGACCCGCAUGAAAGGCGUAAUGAUCUGGGCACUGUCUCAACAGCCCGCCCGGCGAAAUUGUAGUACCGGUGAAGAUGCCGGUUACCCGCGACAAGACGGAAAGACCCCAUGGAGCUUUACUGUAGCCUAAUAUUGGGUUUCGGUGUUGCAUGCACAGGAUAGAUGGGACGCUAGGAAGUGAGUGCUUUGGCAUUCAUGGAGCGGCCGUUGGGAUACCAUCCUUGCGACAUUGGAAUUCUAACCUGCGCCUUUGAAUCAAGGCGGGGGACAUUGUUAGGUGGGCAGUUUGACUGGGGCGGUCGCCUCCUAAAGAGUAGCGGAGGCGUUCAAAGGUUGGCUCGUCCUGGACGGAAACCAGGAGAGAGAGUGCAAACGCAAAAGCCAGCCUGACUGCGAGACUGACGGGUCGAGCAGAGACGAAAGUCGGAGUUAGUGAUC
RNAcentral lists this ribosomal RNA (1506 nucleotides) under human gut metagenome. Its description in RNAcentral is "bacterial LSU rRNA". It matches the Rfam family "Bacterial large subunit ribosomal RNA", at positions 826 to 2420 of the family's 2925-position model. The record is from RNAcentral.